UGGGGAAUCUUCCGCAAUGGGCGCAAGCCUGACGGAGCAACGCCGCGUGAGUGAAGAAGGUCUUCGGAUCGUAAAGCUCUGUUGAUGGGGACGAACGUGCCUAAUGCGAAUAGUAUUAGGUAAUGACGGUACCCAUCGAGGAAGCCACGGCUAACUACGUGCCAGCAGCCGCGGUAAUACGUAGGUGGCGAGCGUUGUCCGGAAUCAUUGGGCGUAAAGGGAGCGCAGGCGGGCAUGUAAGUCUUUCUUAAAAGUGCGGGGCUCAACCCCGUGAUAGGAAAGAAACUAUGUGUGUUGUGGACUGGAGAGGAAAGCGGAAUUCCCAGAGUAGCGGUGAAAUGCGUAGAUAUUAGGGGGAACACCAGUAGCGAAGGCGGCUUUCUGGACUGCAACUGACGCUGAGGCUCGAAAGCCAGGGGAGCGAACGGG
RNAcentral lists this ribosomal RNA (429 nucleotides) under bacterium. RNAcentral's name for it is "partial 16S ribosomal RNA". It matches the Rfam family "Bacterial small subunit ribosomal RNA", at positions 355 to 776 of the family's 1533-position model. The record is from RNAcentral.